GAGCAGACUCGAUUACACGCGGUAGCAAUAUUCUCGUAGUCGGAGUCGGCUGCAAGGGUGCGUAACACGUGGGUAAUCUGCCGUGAAGUUCGGGAUAACUCGCUGAAAGGCGAGCUAAUACCGAAUGUGAAAAUUGGGAGGCAUCUUUUGAUUUUCAAAGUUGGGGACCGUAAGGCCUGACGCUUCAUGAUGAACCCGCGGCCUAUCAGCUAGUUGGUGAGGUAACGGCUCACCAAGGCUAAGACGGGUAGCUGGUCUGAGAGGACGACCAGCCACACUGGAACUGAGACACGGUCCAGACACCUACGGGUGGCAGCAGUCGAGAAUUUUUCACAAUGGGGGAAACCCUGAUGGAGCGACGCCGCGUGGGGGAUGAAUGGCUUCGGCCCGUAAACCCCUGUCAUUCGCGAACAAUGCUCAUGGUAUAACACAUCGUGAGUUGAUAGUACCAGAAGAGGAAGAGACGGCUAACUCUGUGCCAGCAGCCGCGGUAAUACAGAGGUCUCAAGCGUUGUUCGGAUUCAUUGGGCGUAAAGGGUGUGUAGGUGGCGCGUUAAGUCGGGUGUGAAAUUUCGGAGCUUAACUCCGAAACUGCAUUCGAUACUGGCGUGCUUGAGGACUGGAGAGGAGACUGGAAUUCAUGCUGUAGCAGUGAAAUGCGUAGAGAUCAUGAGGAAGACCAGUGUCGAAGCGGGUCUCUGGACAGUUCCUGACACUGAGACACGAAGGCCAGGGGAGCAAAC
Molecule: ribosomal RNA, 743 nt
Filed under: uncultured bacterium
Lineage: Bacteria
Description: bacterial SSU rRNA
Rfam family: Bacterial small subunit ribosomal RNA
Source: RNAcentral